RNAcentral lists this ribosomal RNA (460 nucleotides) under uncultured bacterium. RNAcentral's name for it is "partial 16S ribosomal RNA". It matches the Rfam family "Bacterial small subunit ribosomal RNA", at positions 338 to 795 of the family's 1533-position model. The record is from RNAcentral.
CCUACGGGAGGCAGCAGUGAGGAAUAUUGGUCAAUGGACGAGAGUCUGAACCAGCCAAGUAGCGUGAAGGAUGACUGCCCUAUGGGUUGUAAACUUCUUUUAUAUGGGAAUAAAAUGUUCCACGUGUGGGAUUUUGUAUGUACCAUAUGAAUAAGGAUCGGCUAACUCCGUGCCAGCAGCCGCGGUAAUACGGAGGAUCCGAGCGUUAUCCGGAUUUAUUGGGUUUAAAGGGAGCGUAGGUGGAUUGUUAAGUCAGUUGUGAAAUCCGCGGGCUUAACCCGCGAACUGCAUUUGAAACUAUUGGUCUUGAGUACCGGAGAGGUCAUCGGAAUUCCUUGUGUAGCGGUGAAAUGCGUAGAUAUAAGGAAGAACACCAGUGGCGAAGGCGGAUGACUGGACGGCAACUGACGGUGAGGCGCGAAAGCGUGGGGAGCAAACAGGAUUAGAUACCCCUGUAGUC